This is an RNA transcript of Nasonia vitripennis (jewel wasp), 4353 nucleotides long. RefSeq lists it as uncharacterized. The record is from RefSeq and is a predicted model, not a curated record. The transcript is spliced from 4 exons. Lineage: Eukaryota; Metazoa; Arthropoda; Insecta; Hymenoptera; Pteromalidae.
UCCAUAUCAUCAACGAAUAUAGACUUCAUAUAGAAGAACGGUUCGUAUAGCGGCGAGGGGACGGAAAGCGAUAGUUCGGUACGCUCCGCGAGAUGGCGGCAGCCAUCAAUUUCUAUCGUGCUGUCUCUCUCACUCUCACGGCGCCAUUCAAAUUUUAAGCUUGCAGUCGUCAAGUCAGCCGAAUGUCAAUCUCCUUGCUACAUGAAUGUUAUAAAAUUAAAUAAUAGCAGCGUAGAUGUAAAUAAUAAAUAAAUAUUAUAUGUGACGCACUAUGAAAAUUGUAAUAGUGUAUAAUAGUUUAAUUAUUACGUGAUACUUAAAAUUUAAUUUUCGCUACAGUGUGCGUAAAAACAAUAAAUCGGGAUACUUGCUCUUAGUUAAUAUUAGUUUGUUUAUAAUUAAAAACAGCCAUCAAAAUAAAAACAAUCAAACUAAUAUUAUUCGAUGGAAACCAAUCGGGAAGGUGGCUAAGUUUUCUUCCAUCAGGAAAAGGAUAGGAUAAAAGGAAAGCAUAGGUGUAGGAAUGGCGAUGAUGAUACACAUAAAUUAUUUACAUUUCAUGCAACUAUCGAUCAACACUCAUGCAACUGCUGUUAAUGAAGGUAUUUACAAAUAUUUAAUUAAUUAAAGAAAAGAAAAGAAUAUGAAAAAUCAAAACAAACUAUGAUUUAAUUAAUGAGUUAAAAUAUUUAUUAUGCGCAUGCAAUUAAAUACAAAUGAUUUUAUAUUGAUGAGUGAUUAAAAGUUGUAAACAAAAAUAAUUUUAAAUAAAAAGCAGUGCUUAUUCUAUUUAAAAAAAUUAAUACCGUUUAUCGACAAUUUAUAAGAAUUCCUCUGUGAACAAAAUAAAAUAUAAAGUAUGAAGUAAUAAUUGGCUGAGACGACACAAUAAGCAAAUAAGCACUUUGAUUAUCUUCGAGACAUAAAAUGGGAAACUGACAGGAGCUGCGUUUUCGCGGUUUUUUCCUAGUCAGAAAAAUAUGGUUGUCGCAACCAAUACUUUUGUAAAACCUCCUUACACACUCAUUAUUCAUUUUCUUGUCAUUUAUUUACUUUCAUUAUUGUUAAAAAGUAUAUUUUACAUAAUAUACUGCAUGAAUGAUGAAUCGUCUGCUUGUGCGUGCUCAUAUGCGCGCCAAGCUGUAGGAAACUCAUAGGUGGCGCCGCCGAGCGGUUGGGUAACAGAACUAACGGCCUGUUACCCAAGCUUUCGUCCCCCCAUUUUAACCCAGAACCGUUCUUCUAUAGGAAGUCUAUAUUCGUUGAUAUCAUAUACCCGCGCCGCGCAUGCGCUCACGCGCCACGUGCGCUCGACAACGGAAGAAUUGCAUUUUAUUGGUUUUUUACAAUAUCUAUCGCAUUUUAUCAAUUUUUAACGAUGGUGCAAUUAGAUUCGAGUAGCGUGCAGUUUAUUUAUGUUUUAAAAAAUGCGAAUUUCCAAGUAUAUAAUCUGAGUUUAACCUUAUAAGUUGCGCGAUCUUGACCUAUUUUUUAUUCGUUAAUUACGGGGGUGCAAUUAAAAUAAUUGUUAUUUUUGGAAGGUGCUAUUAAAAAUACGUGCCUCUAUAUUUUUUUUUAUACCGAUAUUCCAAAUUCGUAGGCUGGGGUAGGGUAGGUAAAUAUGGACUUGAAAUCCAUUUUUAUACACAUGCCUUUAGUACUUUAAUUGUAGCUUAAAAUGGUUCGGAGAUCAGUAAAAAUGCGGUAUGAUGAAAAAAACUGCCAAAGGCCGCAUAAGCUGUCAUAAGGGAUGACUGCACUGAAAAAAAACACAGUCGUUUCUGCUGUAAAGUCCGGUAGUUUUAACCGUUCUGCCACCGUGACGACUGUUCAGUAAGAACAACGGUGUGCCACUGGUAGUUUUGGCGAGUUGCGACCCGUAAAAUGGGUCGCUUACGCGCCAGCAAAAACGAGCGAACUGAUUCUUUGAAACUAUUGAACUCUACGGUAAUUUUGGCGAGUCUUCGUACAAUGACGGAUUACUGGUGCGAUUUCAGUUAAAAUGGCUGAGUUUUUUUUCAGUGCGUAAAAGCUUCACCUACGUCAUACAGAACUUAUAAAAAAUCAAAAAAUUAAGUUUGAAACACUAUGAGUACAAUUUUCUGAUUAAUUUUUUCACCCCAUUCUGUAGUUAAAUUCAAUCUGUAUAAUAUUGCCCCAUGACCGUUAUAGGAUUGCAUCGUACUUAUUUUGUGUGUGUGUGUGUGUAUAUAUAUAUAUAUAUAUAUAUAUAUACAAUAAGUACGAUGGAUGGUCGUUGGCAAUAUAACUCUCGGUCGUGACGUCAUCAACAUGGACACCCAGGCCAUGCAGAAUACAUUGUCAGUAUACGGAGUAGAGCAGUAUUUUCUAAUUUUUUACGUAAAAAAGUGAACUAUAGAGUAAUAGUUUUUUUGGUGCAUUCCCUGGGUUAAUAUAACAUCAGAAAAUACGUAGAUUAAUUUUUUUUUGCGUGACAGUAUUGUAUUUUCUUUAAUAAUAGAAAAACUCGUUUUGGAGCAUAACCUCUCACGAUAAACAAUGAUAGUAAAACACUUCAAGAAAUUUUUAAAUUUGUUGAGUGUACAAGCUCAAGUAGAAAUUUUAUUGAAGGAGAAAGAGUGCUUAAUUCUAAGCACAUAUUGAAAUGUGGUAAAUUAGAAUCUGCAGAGAAUUUAAAUAUACGCGCAUACUGUUUACAAACAUCCAAUUUGAGAGGACCACCUCAUGAAAUUAGUGGAGUUAUUGGAAUAAAUGGCUCAAUUAUUAGUUUUAAUUGCUCAUGUAAAGCAGGGCAAAGUGAAAGAUGUAAACAUGUUGUUGCUGUGCUAGUUUAUUGCUACAGAUGUAACGAUUGUAGUGAAUUGGAAUUAUUAUUGAGUACAGAUGUCAAGUGUACAUGGAAAACACCACAAAAAAAGGCUUUAGAGCAAUAUCAAGCAACUACCGUUGAACAACAUGAGUGCUACAAUAAAUUAUAUAAAGGCUGUGAUACAAUCUGUCUGCUCAUCAGAUAUCUCAAUUGCAAGAAAGAUUGUUAAACUCUUCUAAAAAUGCACUUACAAAGCACAUUACUGGAAGACACGAAGUUUUAGAUGUUAACAGUAAUAACAAUCAUGAUGAUAAAACUUUAGAACUAAUAAAAGCAAUAGUCUAUAAUGAGGAAUCAGACGUUAUGAAAAGAGUAGCUUUAGUUUCAGUUUCAACACUGAAAGAUUGUUGUUAUGAAAAGUUGAUCAGUUUUUACAAAGAAGAUAUUCUUGUUUCUUGUAUUGAAUCGGAAAGUAAUAAUGCAGAAUGGAGGAAAAUUCGACAACACCGUGUGACAAGAUCAAGAGUAUAUAAAUUAUAUACGUACAGUCCAAAUAAGAAGCCUGAUUGGAAAAACAAGUCUUUAUCGUACUUUAAUCCAAAAUCUUUUAAAAGCAAAUAUACAAACCAUGGGAUUAAAUAUGAGCAAGAAGCAAUAACAGAAUAUGAAAAGUACACAGGAACAACGGUUACAAGAUGUGGAGCUGUUAUUUCAAGAUCGAAUGCUUGGAUGUCGUACACUCCAGAUGGUGUAAUUGUAACAAAUGGUAAACCUUCUUUGUUAUUAGAAGUGAAAUGUCCUUACGCUGGUAAAUUCAAAGGUAUAACUGAAGUACUAUCAAGCUUGAAAUAUAUUAAAAUAACUGGAGAAAGUGUUGUAUUUACAGAAAGACAUGAAUACUAUGCUCAAAUACAAAUGGGAAUGGCCAUUUUGAAUGUAUCAUCAACAGCUUUUAUGAUCUAUGCAUCAUCAGACUCCAGUUUUAUUAUUUUUGAUGUACCAUAUAAUGAAAAUUAUAUAUUCAAUGUUUUAGCCAACGUUAAAAGAUCUUAUUGUGAUAAGAUGCUCCACUAUAUCUGUUCAGAAGAAAUAGAAAAUGUACAAAAUGAAAACAAUAUAGUUUGAAACAAUAAAACAUUUUAUUAUUAAAUAUAAAACUUAUGAAUAUAAUUAUUUAUUAAAUUUGUCAUCUUUCAAUAUAGGACAAUAUAGGAAUAUUAGACAAUAUAGGAAAAAUUUUUAAUCUUUGAUUAGAUCUCUCUAUGUGUACUCGAGCUUUAGCAAUCUUCGCGUUCAAUAGAGCUUCUUCUUUUGAAAAUUGAAUUUUAUUUGUUAAAAAAGGUGGUCUUAUUAACUGCACAUUGUGUUCUCGACAAGCAUCAUCAAUCAAAAAACCUUUAUCUGUCAUUAAACCAUCUCCAGGUUCGAAUAAUUUAAUAAAAUUACUCUUAUAAAAAAUCGCCUUAUCGGAACUUCUUCCUGAGAAUGCCUUGCUAAUAAAUGUGAUCAGACCUCCUGGUGAUACUGCUGUCAUAAAUCUAACAGUAUUAUCACUUUUGUAU